Molecule: ribosomal RNA, 449 nt
Filed under: uncultured bacterium
Lineage: Bacteria
Description: partial 16S ribosomal RNA
Rfam family: Bacterial small subunit ribosomal RNA
Source: RNAcentral
AAUGAACGCUGGCGGCAGGCCUAACACAUGCAAGUCGAACGAGGCAGCAAUGCCUAGUGGCGGACGGGUGAGUAACGCGUGGGAACGUGCCCCUUGGUACGGAAUAGCCCUGGGAAACUAGGAGUAAUACCGUAUGUGGUCGAGAGACGAAAGAUUUAUCGCCAAGGGAUCGGCCCGCGUUGGAUUAGGUAGUUGGUGGGGUAAUGGCCUACCAAGCCGACGAUCCAUAGCUGGUUUGAGAGGAUGAUCAGCCACACUGGGACUGAGACACGGCCCAGACUCCUACGGGAGGCAGCAGUGGGGAAUCUUAGACAAUGGGGGAAACCCUGAUCUAGCCAUGCCGCGUGAUCGAUGAAGGCCUUAGGGUUGUAAAGAUCUUUCAGGUGGGAAGAUAAUGACGGUACCACCAGAAGAAGCCCCGGCUAACUCCGUGCCAGCAGCCGCGGUAA